UGGAGAAAUAACGUGGGCUUAAAAUUACGAGAGAGCAGUAUGUUCAGUUACAUUUUAUAUUGUAGAUGUAUACAUUUGUAAUAUACUAUUAACAUAAGGUACACUUUAACUUCACUAUAGUCAAGCAUUGGAUAAACCAAUUAACUGUGUUUUACCACAAAAUAACCGUGGUUUUGCUAAUAAUAAUCAAUACACCAAGAAAACAUGGUUACUAAACUUUUACCACAAAAAAAAAAAAAAACAUUCAUUUUCGUAAGGGGAAUAUGAGUGUUUGUUUUUUUUGUAGUUUUUCAGUCAAUUGCAUACCGCUUUUAGCUGUACAAAACUUAAACAGUUUUCGUAAAUGCAUUUCAGAGAAAAGUGAAUUCUGAGAUUUGAAUAAUGCAUCUGACGUGUGUGUGAUGACGUCACGACGCACGUAUUUUGAUUUUUACCAGUCGUUCAAGGCGGACGGAUUCAGUCCCAAGAAGCUAAAGUUUUUCAAAGACAUUUGUAGGGAGGACUUUGCAGCUAAUGGAGCUGAAGUAUUUUAUGUAAGGAGGAUUUUGCAGCCCAUAUAGAUUUCCUUAGGCUGAACCAAAACCUGCCAGACUAAAGUUGAUUUGGGAGAGAAAGACGUUGUAAACUCAAUCAUCUUGACAUUCUUCAAUGAGUAAUUGUUCAAUUUUUAGGCAAAUACUGUACACUUUGAAUGCUGUGAAUAAAACUAUAUUUUAAAUAUAUUUAAAAUGAA
Molecule: long non-coding RNA, 733 nt
Organism: Paramisgurnus dabryanus
Lineage: Eukaryota; Metazoa; Chordata; Actinopteri; Cypriniformes; Cobitidae
Source: RefSeq, a predicted model, not a curated record